CGGUGUUCAACUGGCGUGUCCGCGGGACGUCCUGCCGGUGGGCUUAGCCCGCAAGGGCGGCCCAACUUCAAAUCCCAUCGCGGUGCUCUUCACUGAGUGUCGAGGUGGGCCGGCACGUUUACUUUGAACAAAUUAGAGUGCUUAAAGCAGGCUAAAACUUCGCCUGAAUACUGUGUGCAUGGAAUAAUGGAAUAGGACCUCGGUUCUAUUUUGUUGGUUUUCGGAACCCCGAGGUAAUGAUUAAUAGGAACGGAUGGGGGCAUUCGUAUCGCGACGUUAGAGGUGAAAUUCUUGGAUCGUCGCAAGACGGACAGAAGCGAAAGCAUUUGCCAAAAACGCUUUCAUUGAUCAAGAACGAAAGUUAGAGGUUCGAAGGCGAUCAGAUACCGCCCUAGUUCUAACCAUAAACGAUGCCAGCUAGCGAUCCGUCGACGUUCCUCCGAUGACUCGACGGGCAGCUUCCGGGAAACCAAAGCUUUUGGGUUCCGGGGGAAGUAUGGUUGCAAAGCUGAAACUUAAAGGAAUUGACGGAAGGGCACCACCAGGAGUGGAGCCUGCGGCUUAAUUUGACUCAACACGGGAAACCUCACCAGGCCCGGACACCGGAAGGAUUGACAGAUUGAGAGCUCUUUCUUGAUUCGGUGGGUGGUGGUGCAUGGCCGUUCUUAGUUGGUGGAGCGAUUUGUCUGGUUAAUUCCGAUAACGAACGAGGCUCUAGCCUGCUAACUAGGCGUAUUUUCGACAUCUCAAAGGUCCGUCGUCCCGGCCCUCGGGUCGUGGGCGUGCGCGAUUUUUACUGUCGGCGUACUAUCAAUUCUUCUUAGAGGGACAGGUGGCUUCUAGCCGCACGAGAUUGAGCAAUAACAGGUCUGUGAUG
Molecule: ribosomal RNA, 877 nt
Filed under: uncultured eukaryote
Lineage: Eukaryota
Description: SSU rRNA
Rfam family: Eukaryotic small subunit ribosomal RNA
Source: RNAcentral